Molecule: ribosomal RNA, 405 nt
Filed under: uncultured bacterium
Lineage: Bacteria
Description: bacterial SSU rRNA
Rfam family: Bacterial small subunit ribosomal RNA
Source: RNAcentral
GGGGAAUGUUGCACAAUGGGCGCAAGCCUGAUGCAGCGACGCCGCGCGAGGGAUGACGGCCUUCGGGUUGUAAACCUCUGUUAGCAUCGAAGAAGCGAAAGUGACGGUAGGUGCAGAGAAAGCGCCGGCUAACUACGUGCCAGCAGCCGCGGUAAUACGUAGGGCGCGAGCGUUGUCCGGAAUUAUUGGGCGUAAAGAGCUUGUAGGCGGUUGGUCGCGUCUGCUGUGAAAGGCCGGGGCUUAACUCCGGUUUUGCAGUGGGUACGGGCUAACUAGGGUGCAGUAGGGGAGACUGGAAUUCCUGGUGUAGCGGUGGAAUGCACAGAUAUCAGGAGGAACACCGAUGGCGAAGGCAGGUCUCUGGGCUGUAACUGACGCUGAGAAGCGAAAGCAUGGGGAGCGAAC